ACCAAACUUUCCACCACCGAUCUCCUGGUUCUCCCCUCCGAGAAGAACGCCACCAAAUGGCAUACCCAGUGGGGAUUGGCACCCUUCUGGAACCUCCAAUUCCUGAACCCCCCUUGCCCCCCUCCGGAUUUCCGGGGGGAUGGCUGGUUUAACCUCCUU
This 159-nucleotide ribosomal RNA is filed under the name Pichia kudriavzevii. Its description in RNAcentral is "5.8S ribosomal RNA". The record is from RNAcentral. Lineage: Eukaryota; Fungi; Ascomycota; Pichiomycetes; Pichiales; Pichiaceae.